GUUUAUAUAAUUUAUAUAGAAUAUUGUGUUGAAGAUACAAAAGAGAUAAUAGGUCUAUAAACA
RNAcentral lists this transfer RNA (63 nucleotides) under Qianguimon aflagellum. Its description in RNAcentral is "tRNA-Phe". Lineage: Eukaryota; Metazoa; Arthropoda; Malacostraca; Decapoda; Potamidae. The record is from RNAcentral.